GAUGAACGCUGGCGGCGCGCCUAACACAUGCAAGUCGAACGAUUAAAGCACCUUCGGGUGUGUAUAAAGUGGCGAACGGCUGAGUAACACGUGGGCAACCUGCCCCUCUCAUUGGGAUAGCCACGGGAAACCGUGGAUAAUACCGAAUACUUCGAGACUUCCGCAUGGAAGACUCGAGAAAGCUCCGGCGGAGAGGGAUGGGCCCGCGGCCUGUUAGCUUGUUGGUGGGGUAACGGCCUACCAAGGCAAUGAUGGGUAGCUGGGUUGAGAGACCGACCAGCCAGAUUGGGACUGAGACACGGCCCAGACUCCUACGGGAGGCAGCAGUGGGGAAUCUUGCACAAUGGGCGAAAGCCUGAUGCAGCGACGCCGCGUGCGGGAUGAAGGCCUUCGGGUUGUAAACCGCUUUCAGCAGGGACGAGGCGAAAGUGACGGUACCUGCAGAAGAAGCCCCGGCUAACUACGUGCCAGCCGCCGCCGUAA
This 483-nucleotide ribosomal RNA is filed under the name uncultured bacterium. RNAcentral's name for it is "partial 16S ribosomal RNA". It matches the Rfam family "Bacterial small subunit ribosomal RNA", at positions 28 to 523 of the family's 1533-position model. The record is from RNAcentral.